This 21-nucleotide non-coding RNA is filed under the name Caenorhabditis elegans. The record is from RNAcentral. Lineage: Eukaryota; Metazoa; Nematoda; Chromadorea; Rhabditida; Rhabditidae.
UACAUGGGAAUUGUUUUCAGA